AACGCGAAGAACCUUACCUGGGCUAGAAUGUGAUUUGACCGAUCCUGAAAGGGGUCUUUGUAGCAAUACACAGAUUACAAGGUGCUGCAUGGUUGUCGUCAGCUCGUGCCGUGAGGUGUUGGGUUAAGUCCCGCAACGAGCGCAACCCCUAUCUUUAGUUGCCAGCGAGUAAUGUCGGGGACUCUAAAGAGACUGCCUGCGUAAGCAGAGAGGAAGGAGGGGAUGACGUCAAAUCAUCAUGGCCUUUAUGCCCAGGGCUACACACGUGCUACAAUGGCGUUUACAAAGGGCUGCCAACCAGCGAUGGUGAGCAAAUCCCACAAACAACGUCUCAGUUCGGAUUGAAGUCUGCAACUCGACUUCAUGAAGCUGGAAUCGCUAGUAAUCGUGGAUCAGCAACGCCACGGUGAAUACGUUCCCGGGCCUUGUACACACCGCGCAUA
This 443-nucleotide ribosomal RNA is filed under the name uncultured bacterium. RNAcentral's name for it is "bacterial SSU rRNA". It matches the Rfam family "Bacterial small subunit ribosomal RNA", at positions 958 to 1398 of the family's 1533-position model. The record is from RNAcentral.